AUAGAACGCUGGCGGCAUGCCUUACACAUGCAAGUCGAACGGUAACAGGUCUUCGGAUGCUGACGAGUGGCGAACGGGUGAGUAAUACAUCGGAACGUGCCUAGUAGUGGGGGAUAACUACUCGAAAGAGUGGCUAAUACCGCAUGAGAUCUACGGAUGAAAGCAGGGGAUCGCAAGACCUUGUGCUACUAGAGCGGCCGAUGGCAGAUUAGGUAGUUGGUGGGAUAAAAGCUUACCAAGCCGACGAUCUGUAGCUGGUCUGAGAGGACGAUCAGCCACACUGGGACUGAGAAACGGCCUAGACUCCUACGGGAGGCAGCAGUGGGGAAUUUUGGACAAUGGGCGCAAGCCUGAUCCAGCAAUGCCGCGUGCAGGAUGAAGGCCUUCGGGUUGUAAACUGCUUUUGUACGGAACGAAAAGCCUCGGGUUAAUACCCUGGGGUCAUGACGGUACCGUAAGAAUAAGCACCGGCUAACUACGUGCCAGCAGCCGCCGUAA
This 498-nucleotide ribosomal RNA is filed under the name uncultured bacterium. Its description in RNAcentral is "partial 16S ribosomal RNA". It matches the Rfam family "Bacterial small subunit ribosomal RNA", at positions 31 to 523 of the family's 1533-position model. The record is from RNAcentral.